UUCUUUCCUCCCGAGUGCUUGCACUCAAUUGGAAAGAGGAGUGGCGGACGGGUGAGUAACACGUGGGUAACCUACCCAUCAGAGGGGGAUAACACUUGGAAACAGGUGCUAAUACCGCAUAACAGUUUAUGCCGCAUGGCAUAAGAGUGAAAGGCGCUUUCGGGUGUCGCUGAUGGAUGGACCCGCGGUGCAUUAGCUAGUUGGUGAGGUAACGGCUCACCAAGGCCACGAUGCAUAGCCGACCUGAGAGGGUGAUCGGCCACACUGGGACUGAGACACGGCCCAGACUCCUACGGGAGGCAGCAGUAGGGAAUCUUCGGCAAUGGACGAAAGUCUGGCCGAGCAACGCCGCGUGAGUGAAGAAGGUUUUCGGAUCGUAAAACUCUGUUGUUAGAGAAGAACAAGGACGUUAGUAACUGAACGUCCCCUGACGGUAUCUAACCAGAAAGCCACGGCUAACUACGUGCCAGCAGCCGCGGUAAUACGUAGGUGGCAAGCGUUGUCCGGAUUUAUUGGGCGUAAAGCGAGCGCAGGCGGUUUCUUAAGUCUGAUGUGAAAGCCCCCGGCUCAACCGGGGAGGGUCAUUGGAAACUGGGAGACUUGAGUGCAGAAGAGGAGAGUGGAAUUCCAUGUGUAGCGGUGAAAUGCGUAGAUAUAUGGAGGAACACCAGUGGCGAAGGCGGCUCUCUGGUCUG
Molecule: ribosomal RNA, 695 nt
Filed under: uncultured Bacilli bacterium
Lineage: Bacteria; Bacillati; Bacillota; Bacilli
Description: bacterial SSU rRNA
Rfam family: Bacterial small subunit ribosomal RNA
Source: RNAcentral